GAUGAACGCUAGCUACAGGCUUAACACAUGCAAGUCGAGGGGAAACGGCAUUAAGUGCUUGCACUUUUUGGACGUCGACCGGCGCACGGGUGAGUAACGCGUAUCCAACCUUCCCAUGACUAAGGGAUAACCUGCCGAAAGGCAGACUAAUACCUUAUGGUCUUCACUGACGGCAUCAGAUGUGAAGUAAAGAUUUAUCGGUCAUGGAUGGGGAUGCGUCUGAUUAGCUUGUUGGCGGGGUAACGGCCCACCAAGGCAACGAUCAGUAGGGGUUCUGAGAGGAAGGUCCCCCACAUUGGAACUGAGACACGGUCCAAACUCCUACGGGAGGCAGCAGUGAGGAAUAUUGGUCAAUGGGCGAGAGCCUGAACCAGCCAAGUAGCGUGCAGGAAGACGGCCCUAUGGGUUGUAAACUGCUUUUGUAUGGGGAUAAAGUCAAUCACGUGUGAUUGUUUGCAGGUACCAUACGAAUAAGGACCGGCUAAUUCCGUGCCAGCAGCCGCGGUAAUACGGAAGGUCCGGGCGUUAUCCGGAUUUAUUGGGUUUAAAGGGAGCGUAGGCUGGAGAUUAAGUGUGUUGUGAAAUGUAGACGCUCAACGUCUGACUUGCAGCGCAUACUGGUUUCCUUGAGUACGCACAACGUUGGCGGAAUUCGUCGUGUAGCGGUGAAAUGCUUAGAUAUGACGAAGAACUCCGAUUGCGAAGGCAGCUGACGGGAGCGCAACUGACGCUGAAGCUCGAAGGUGCGGGUAUCGAACAGG
RNAcentral lists this ribosomal RNA (761 nucleotides) under Prevotella melaninogenica. RNAcentral's name for it is "bacterial SSU rRNA". It matches the Rfam family "Bacterial small subunit ribosomal RNA", at positions 28 to 776 of the family's 1533-position model. Lineage: Bacteria; Pseudomonadati; Bacteroidota; Bacteroidia; Bacteroidales; Prevotellaceae. The record is from RNAcentral.